CUAUUAUUAUCUGUUGUGUGCGUAAUAUUGAUUCAUGGCUGUUAGACCCAGGGGAUGUUGCUCCUUACCCCUCUUAAAGAAGGGUAGAGCUCCUAGAAGACACUCUUGCCUUUAUCCUCCCCCAUCCUUUCAGGGGCAAUGGCGACCCAGUGAAAAUCAAUCUCAUUCUGCAUAUGGAGAAACCAGAGCUUGGUGCCUCUCCACUCCCCAUGCUGACUCAUCAGCCUUGGCUCAGAGCCUCCUGCUUUAAAUCACUGCGGGAAUGCAUGAAAAAGCCUCCCUGCCUGACAUCCUUUAUUUUAUUUAUUUUCUACAGCCAUUGUGGAAUCUGUAUGCUGAUGGAAAUCCUGCAAGCGCGACACUUACCUCAAAUCAACACUGGUAUUUGUAGUCAUGAUACUCCAGUCAAGGCACGGCUUCCUUAUUAAUAAGAAUUCAGUGAACUAGAGAAUAGAUAAUCGCAAUGAUAUGUUCUCCUUUAAAUCACAAUGCCAUUGGUUCUGAGAGUAAAGGAGUGGGUUUUGUUGUGUUUUGUUUUGUUUUGUUCGAGAGUAAAUUUGCUUUCUCCUACAAGUGAGUUCAGAGCAAAGGCUGUAUCUGUGCAACUGUGUUAACUUCUCAUUUUAAAUAAUGAAAUUGUUGCUGCUCUUGCUUAUUCUCAGGUCCCAAUGCAGUUGCUUCCAUUCUCAGCCAAGAACAUCAUUAUUAGGCUGGUAAGGAAAAACCAUUGCACUCAUAGGCUGGAGGAAGCAGAGGAGGGGAGGUCCAAGCUAUCAGCUCCAUGGGUUAGUGCCACAGCUAAUGCUCUGAGCUCCUACUUCCUGGUGCCUUUUGCUUCCUACAGCCUUGAUCAGCUCAACUCUCAGGUGAGGGUGGGGGGAGGGGACUUUUUAUAUCUAUAGAGGCAGUUUCUGUGAAGAGGUGCUGUGACCUGUAGCACCUCUGUGACCAUGUCUGAGACCCCCUGCUCUUAAGAGUUCAUUAGGAAACCAUGAAGCAGGAGGCAGCUUCUCCAGUUCCCCCUAUGUAUUUUGAAUCCUUGAUAAUCCAGCUGUGGAUGAGGUGCAGGGGACUGGCAGGUUCCUGAUGGAUGCUUUCCGCAUCGUAAUUCCUCAGCCCAUAGCUCAUCAGACCCAGAAGGGAUUGCCCCUGAGAGCCAUUCAGGGCUGAAUAAGCCCUGGCUCAUAGCACAGGUGGGCUCCCCAUAUUAGAAGUGAGGUCCCUAUUCUGCCCAUGAGAGAGCUAUUGGUGCUGGGACCAUUUCAUGGCACAGCUGUUCUGGAAUAAACCUGUGUUUUAAUCUCGGAGCUAUUCCUAUCUCUCCCUCUGCCCAUUUGGGAAUGUGUCUCUUUAAAAAGGGCACAGAACUGAACACUUUAGAUUCUAACUGCAAAUGCUAUUUCUACUAAGUACAUGUAUAUCCUCUCUUCAUUUUUAUUUAUGUCCUUGUUUCCGAGGAAUAAUCAGUUUGAGACUCAUCAACACAAUAAAACCCAGAGAGACAGCCAGAGGCAAAUUCAGUUUGGGGGGUGGGGGUGGGUUUAGAAAAGACCCAUCAUCUCCAAGCCCCUCGAUUCGUAUUUAUCUCUUCUUGUAAGGCACAAUACCAGGAAGCUCAUGCAAUCCCUGGAAAGAAGCUCUUGAUACAGAAUGACAAGGCUCUGUGCCUCCAGGGGUCUUCGAUCAUAGAUUUUCAUCAUCAUCUGAAAUGGUCCCUCUCCUCCUCUCUGCUUGGCACUCACUCUCCCAAAGAGAGGAGACAGGCUUCCCAUAGGGGCCACCCAAACUCAUUCUGCUCAGCAAAGGCUCAUCAUGGGCUUCCUCAUUUCUCUGGGCGAGCAAGCUGCUUGCCUCUCCUCCCCUCCAGGCUACUAGCCAGGCUGAAGGGAAGCCUGCCAGGGUGCACAGGGAAGCUCCCACAGUGGGGUGGGCUGCUCCCUCCCAGGGACUGUUGUCCUGUGCAGUUGUGUGUGUGUGUGUGUGUUGCUUUCUCCAGUCUGCUCUUAAUCAUGUUGGUAUUAAAAAUGGAUUCCGAGGAGCAUUCCCCAAAGGAGUUUGUUGUGCUCACUACUCUUCUGCUUUGAAGAGAGCCCCACCAUCCUUGUAUCCAGCCUCCCCAAGCAGCCAAGCCGACAGAACAGGGACGGCUGUAGUUCUAGACUCGGGCAGACUACCAACAGCUGCACAGUUAAUUAUGGCGCUCUCCCUCUCUUUAAAAAAAUCUCAGCUUUAGAAAUGAAAGAUAAGAAAUUCUUUGGAGUAAUUAGAGACUGCUGAGCGCUCAUGGUAAUAAUGAGGGACUACUUUCAGACUGAUUCACAGCAGGAAGAGGCAGGGAGAGUCGGUGAUGCAGGUUAAAAAAAAAUAAUUAAAAUCAGCUUUGCUACUAUCUCGGCGGAGCUGUCAGUCAGCCUCAGAGAGAAAAGAAUUGCUAAUGAAAUAUUAAUAUGCCGCCUUGGAUUUCCCAUAACCGCCUUUGUUCCCAGGUACUGUUCCCAUUUGUAAGGCAAAGGGGUUAGGUGUGAAAGGGCACGGGAGCCAGCUUGGUCAAGGAGGAAAUGAGAACUCUCUGACAUGGAAAACACUUGGCCUCAGAAAGGAUGCACUGGAGCCUAGUAGGAGCAGCCUGCAACCUGGUCCCAGCCUGGAGCCUGGCCACACUGCCCCAGCUGCUGUGUGCUUGAAGGAGCAACGCCUUCGCCCCCUCCCCAUCCCCCGCCUCUCUCCCCAACCCAGGUUGACAGACACUGAAUGUCAGCAAUCAUCAUGGCACAACCAGUGCAAGUUUUAUAAUAUCUCUAAGUGGUUUUGAAGUCUGCAGAUGCCAGACGGUUUCAAAAUCUCACAGAAAUUGUAUCGUGCAGGUUGUCUUCAGACAAGACGCAGCCCCCGAUGUCUUUUUGUUCCAUUAAGUCAAUCACUCAGAGCUAUGAUACAAACUAUAUGACAGGGUUGGGAAGCCUUGUGUGUGAAGAUGUGUGUGCAUGAAUAUGCUUAUAUGUGCCUUGUGUGAGCAUAUCCUGAAAUCACCCCAGCAUUCAAAGGUUCUUCAGAAGCUUGAAAUACAUUCUGUGAGAAAUGGUUCAGAUACCCACUGUGUGUCAGAGUGUGUCCAGAAGCUGAAAUGCCAAAAAGGUGAGGACUGGUCACACAGAGCCUGCAGCAGGGAUACCCAUGAGAAGCCUUUCUUAAGGGUGCAUCUUGGUUUUUUGCCUAGCUUCAAUGAAAUCUGGGAGACUAAGGAAGAGCAUCUGAGGGAAAUACUGGGUGAUUUUAUCUGAAGUUGGACACAAGGCAAAUAAGAUAUGCAUGGCAAGUGGAAAUGGCAAUGCUAACAACAAUAAUAAUUGUAAUAAUAAACUUUUAAGCCUGAGGACAGAAGCCAGUGAUAGCUUAGUUCCAGCACUGUCUCCUGGAGCUGGCUUCUCAUCACUGUGAAAUGAACAGAGGCUCCCUCAGUCCUGUUGGAGUCUGUGAUCUGAGCAGAUUUGUUUGUUUGUUUGUUUGUUUUGUUUUUUGAGACAGGGUUUCUCUGUGUAGCCCUGGCUGUCCUGGAACUCACUUUGUAGACCAGGCUGGUCUUGAACUCAGAAAUUUGCCUGCCUCUGCCUCCCAAGUGCUGGGAUUAAAGGUGUGUGCCACCACGCCCAGCAAUCUGAGCAGAUGUAAGAAAGGCUUCUGUACUGGUUUGAUAUAGGUAUGACUCCCAUAGGCUCAGGUAUUUGAAUGCUUAGUCCUCAGGGAAUGAUCCUACUUGAG
RNAcentral lists this long non-coding RNA (3759 nucleotides) under Mus musculus (house mouse). Its description in RNAcentral is "long non-coding RNA chr12:26884131-26887890". Lineage: Eukaryota; Metazoa; Chordata; Mammalia; Rodentia; Muridae. The record is from RNAcentral.